GCAGACCGGUGUGCCUGUCGUGGCCCUGAGGGACAGGAUGAAGGUGUUCCGAACCCCGGAGAGCAGGUGGAUGGGUGCGACGGAUAGUUGCUGCUGCAACUGCUGUCUACAGUGCCCCUCAAACUCCGGUGGUGCGCAGUGAUUGUACAAACUGUACAAGGAACAAACUAUGAAACACAACAAAAUAAAAAAAGCAACUCUCCUUUAAAUCCAUAGAAUAUAUUUGAUGAUCCUGACAUUUUCACUCAACUUGGAUGAAAACAGAGCAGUGAAUGUUUUACUUAUAAAUAAAUAAAAUUUUACUUCCUCUGGAAGAAGAUAUUUAAGAGAUUCCCCCCAACCAGUUUUCCCACUUGGAGAAAGUUGGAUCUCUCAGAGCAGUUCUGUUUUCAUGGGACAAAACACUGUUCACGUGAUUCUCCAUCUUGAUCAAGCGCUAGCUCUUCACCUCUUUUCCGGAAACACAUCACCUCAAGAAUCUGU
This is a long non-coding RNA of Pezoporus flaviventris, 483 nucleotides long. RefSeq lists it as uncharacterized. NCBI's taxonomy places the organism in Eukaryota, Metazoa, Chordata, Aves, Psittaciformes, Psittacidae. The transcript has 4 exons. The record is from RefSeq and is a predicted model, not a curated record.